RNAcentral lists this ribosomal RNA (460 nucleotides) under uncultured bacterium. RNAcentral describes it as "partial 16S ribosomal RNA". It matches the Rfam family "Bacterial small subunit ribosomal RNA", at positions 338 to 795 of the family's 1533-position model. The record is from RNAcentral.
CCUACGGGCGGCAGCAGUGAGGAAUAUUGGUCAAUGGACGAGAGUCUGAACCAGCCAAGUAGCGUGAAGGAUGACUGCCCUAUGGGUUGUAAACUUCUUUUGUAUGGGAAUAAAAUGUUCCACGUGUGGGAUUUUGUAUGUACCAUAUGGAUAAGGAUCGGCUAACUCCGUGCCAGCAGCCGCGGUAAUACGGAGGAUCCGAGCGUUAUCCGGAUUUAUUGGGUUUAACGGGAGCGUAGGUGGAUUGUUAAGUCAGUUGUGAAAGUUUGCGGCUCAACCGUAAAAUUGCAGUUGAAACUGGCAGUCUUGAGUACAGUAGAGGUGAGCGGAAUUCGUGGUGUAGCGGUGAAAUGCUUAGAUAUCACGAAGAACUCCGAUUGCGAAGGCAGUUCACUGGACUGCAACUGACACUGAGGCUCGAAAGUGUGGGUAUCAAACAGGAUUAGAUACCCGAGUAGUC